This 468-nucleotide ribosomal RNA is filed under the name uncultured bacterium. RNAcentral's name for it is "partial 16S ribosomal RNA". It matches the Rfam family "Bacterial small subunit ribosomal RNA", at positions 28 to 507 of the family's 1533-position model. The record is from RNAcentral.
GACGAACGCUGGCGGCGUGCUUAACACAUGCAAGUCGAACGGAAAGGCCCUGCUUUGGUGGGGUGCUCGAGUGGCGAACGGGUGAGUAACACGUGAGUAACCUGCCCUUGACUUUGGGAUAACUUCAGGAAACUGGGGCUAAUACCGGAUAGGAGCUCCUGCUGCAUGGUGGGGGGUGGAAAGUUUCGGCGGUUGGGGAUGGACUCGCGGCUUAUCAGCUUGUUGGUGGGGUAGUGGCUUACCAAGGCUUUGGCGGGUAGCCGGCCUGAGAGGGUGACCGGCCACAUUGGGACUGAGAUACGGCCCAGACUCCUACGGGAGGCAGCAGUGGGGAAUAUUGCACAAUGGGCGGAAGCCUGAUGCAGCAACGCCGCGUGCGGGAUGACGGCCUUCGGGUUGUAAACCGCUUUCGCCUGUGACGAAGCGUGAGUGACGGUAAUGGGUAAAGAAGCACCGGCUAACUACGUG